CCUACGGGAGGCAGCAGUAAGGAAUAUUGGUCAAUGGAGGCAACUCUGAACCAGCCAUGCCGCGUGCAGGAUGACGGCCCUAUGGGUUGUAAACUGCUUUUAUACAAGAGAAAACCCUGGUACGUGUACCAGGUUGAUAGUAUUGUAAGAAUAAGCAUCGGCUAACUUCGUGCCAGCAGCCGCGGUAAGACGAAGGAUGCAAGCGUUAUCCGGAUUCAUUGGGUUUAAAGGGUGCGUAGGCGGACUGAUAAGUCAGUGGUGAAAUCUCUUUGCUUAACAAAGAAACUGCCAUUGAUACUGUCGGUCUAGAGUAUAGAUGACGUUGGCGGAAUAUGACAUGUAGUGGUGAAAUACUUAGAUAUGUCAUAGAACACCGAUCGCGAAGGCAGCUAACGAAACUAUAACUGACGCUGAGGCACGAAAGUGCGGGGAUCAAACAGGAUUAGAUACCCUGGUAGUCCGCACCGUAAACGAUGAUUACUCGUUGUUGGCGAUAUGACAGUCAGCGACCAAGCGAAAGCGAUAAGUAAUCCACCUGGGGAGUACGCCGGCGAACGGUGAAACUUAAAGGAAUUGACGG
RNAcentral lists this ribosomal RNA (580 nucleotides) under uncultured bacterium. RNAcentral's name for it is "bacterial SSU rRNA". It matches the Rfam family "Bacterial small subunit ribosomal RNA", at positions 338 to 916 of the family's 1533-position model. The record is from RNAcentral.